GGGAGCGAAUGUCCUGCGGUCAGGGUCGCGGUCUUCAAAACCGUUGGUGGGUAUCCUUCGAUGCUUAUGGUGGUUCGACUCCCCUCGCUCCCGCCA
RNAcentral lists this transfer RNA (96 nucleotides) under Chloroflexota bacterium. Its description in RNAcentral is "Chloroflexi bacterium (aquatic metagenome) tRNA-Sec". It matches the Rfam family "Selenocysteine transfer RNA". Lineage: Bacteria; Bacillati; Chloroflexota. The record is from RNAcentral.